Molecule: ribosomal RNA, 253 nt
Filed under: uncultured bacterium
Lineage: Bacteria
Description: partial 16S ribosomal RNA
Rfam family: Bacterial small subunit ribosomal RNA
Source: RNAcentral
UACGGAGGGUGCAAGCGUUGUUCGGAAUUACUGGGCUUAAAGCGCGCGUAGGCGGCUUUGCAAGUCGGGUGUGAAAUCCCCAGGCUUAACCUGGGAACUGCAUUCGAGACUGCAUUGCUAGAGUAUGGGAGAGGGAAGUGGAAUUUCCGGUGUAGCGGUGAAAUGCGUAGAUAUCGGAAGGAACAUCAGUGGCGAAAGCGACUUCCUGGACCAAUACUGACGCUCAUGUGCGAAAGCGUGGGGAGCAAACAGG